RNAcentral lists this ribosomal RNA (454 nucleotides) under uncultured bacterium. RNAcentral's name for it is "bacterial SSU rRNA". It matches the Rfam family "Bacterial small subunit ribosomal RNA", at positions 29 to 508 of the family's 1533-position model. The record is from RNAcentral.
ACGAACGCUGGCGGCGUGCCUUAGACAUGCAAGUCGAACGGAGUAGCAAUACUCAGUGGCGAACGGCGGAGUAAUGCAUAAGCAACGUGCCCCAAAGACUGGGAUAGUCGAGGGAAACCACGGGUAAUACCAGAUGUGGUCCUUAGAUGGCAUCAUCAAGGGAUUAAAUCGAGCAAUCGGCUUUGGGAGCGGCUUAUGUCCUAUCAGCUUGUUGGUGAGGUAGCGGCUCACCAAGGCUACGACGGGUAGGGGGUCUGAGAGGAUGAUCCCCCCGAGUGGGACUGCGACACGGCCCACACACCUACGGGUGGCAGCAGUUUGGAAUAUUGCACAAUGGGGGAAACCCUGAUGCAGCGACGCCGCGUGGAGGACGAAGGAUCUAGGUCUGUAAACUCCUUUUGCCAGGAAAGACUUAGGACGGUACCUGGCGAAUAAGCCCCGGCUAACUACGUGC